This 253-nucleotide ribosomal RNA is filed under the name uncultured bacterium. RNAcentral describes it as "partial 16S ribosomal RNA". It matches the Rfam family "Bacterial small subunit ribosomal RNA", at positions 524 to 776 of the family's 1533-position model. The record is from RNAcentral.
UACAGAGGUCUCAAGCGUUGUUCGGAUUCAUUGGGCGUAAAGGGUGCGUAGGUGGCAUGGUAAGUUGAAGGUGAAAUCUCGGAGCUCAACUCCGAAACUGCCUUCAAUACUGCUGUGCUUGAGGACUGUAGAGGAGAAUGGAAUUCACGGUGUAGCAGUGAAAUGCGUAGAUAUCGUGAGGAAGACCAGUGGCGAAGGCGAUUCUCUGGACAUUUCCUGACGCUGAGGCACGAAAGCCAGGGGAGCAAACGGG